Molecule: long non-coding RNA, 201 nt
Filed under: Gossypium raimondii (Peruvian cotton)
Lineage: Eukaryota; Viridiplantae; Streptophyta; Magnoliopsida; Malvales; Malvaceae
Description: long non-coding RNA (GRAI_LNC009658)
Source: RNAcentral
AUUUUUUAAAACACAAAAAUUUUUUAAACACGGGAAUUUUUUUUUUUACACAAACUUUUCGAUUUUUUUAUUAAGCAAGUAUCGUAUUUAACACGAACCAAUGAUAUUCACUCAACAUAGCAAUGAAAUCAACAAAUUAGUGUCAAAUCGAUUCGUUGCCUUAUUUUUGAAAACACGACUAUUUUUUGAAGACACGAAAAA